Long non-coding RNA from Gadus macrocephalus (Pacific cod), 185 nucleotides. RefSeq lists it as uncharacterized. The transcript has 2 exons. The record is from RefSeq and is a predicted model, not a curated record. Lineage: Eukaryota; Metazoa; Chordata; Actinopteri; Gadiformes; Gadidae.
AUACUAUGGAGGUAGAUUUGUGUCUUUAUUAUGCAAUCAAAAAUAAUAGGUUUGAGAGCAAAACUUUCCACACUGCAAUCAAAAAAUAGAUUUGAGAGCAAAACUAUCGACACUGCAAUCAAAAAAUGUUUUAUUGCAAGAUAAAUUAAUGUGAUAAAAAAAAUAUUAAUGGGAAUCCAAAAGUU